RNAcentral lists this non-coding RNA (119 nucleotides) under Clostridium saccharobutylicum. RNAcentral's name for it is "FMN sequence". It matches the Rfam family "FMN riboswitch aptamer (RFN element)". From Rfam's summary of the family: The RFN element is a highly conserved domain that is found frequently in the 5'-untranslated regions of prokaryotic mRNAs that encode for flavin mononucleotide (FMN) biosynthesis and transport proteins. This element is a metabolite-dependent riboswitch that directly binds FMN in the absence of proteins. In Bacillus subtilis, the riboswitch most likely controls gene expression by causing premature transcription termination within the 5' untranslated region of the ribDEAHT operon and precluding access to the ribosome-binding site of ypaA mRNA. RNAcentral also lists the same sequence under 1 other name. The record is from RNAcentral. Lineage: Bacteria; Bacillati; Bacillota; Clostridia; Eubacteriales; Clostridiaceae.
ACGUAUCUUCAGGGCAGGGUUUGAUUCCCUACUGGCGGUUAUAGCCCGCGAGCUUUUAUUUAAGCAGAUUCGGUUAAAUUCCGAAGCCAACAGUAUAGUCUGGAUGAAAGAAGAAAGUA